This is a long non-coding RNA of Doryrhamphus excisus (bluestripe pipefish), 389 nucleotides long. RefSeq lists it as uncharacterized. The record is from RefSeq and is a predicted model, not a curated record. NCBI's taxonomy places the organism in Eukaryota, Metazoa, Chordata, Actinopteri, Syngnathiformes, Syngnathidae.
CUUCCGGUUUCAUUGUGGAAGACAAGAACGCACGCUUCUUAGACAGCUGCAAUAGUAAGAAGCGGUGUGGUUUACUAUGGCGGUUAAAUUCGUGAUAUGCUUGUUUUCUAGUGGCUUUUGUGACACGUGAAAAGUUGUUGGGUUAUUUGAAAAAAGCAACUAAGCACUCAUUUGUCACAUGUUGCGUCAUUCUGCGUGACCAGACCGCAACGCUGGAAAAACGUGAAAGGAAUGAAUGUCAGAUCGCAGGGAGCAUGGCUAGCCACGUGGCUAAGUCGAGCAUGGCCUACCACGUGUCUUCAUGAAGCGAAAUUGGCCUUGAUGUCUUGAAGUCCGCUGCUUGACACAAAGCAAAGUAAAUAUUUAAAUAAAAUACUCUCCCCAAAGUA